RNAcentral lists this ribosomal RNA (789 nucleotides) under uncultured archaeon. Its description in RNAcentral is "bacterial SSU rRNA". It matches the Rfam family "Archaeal small subunit ribosomal RNA", at positions 85 to 879 of the family's 1478-position model. The record is from RNAcentral.
ACGGCUCAGUAACACGUCGAUAACUUGCCCUUAAGUCUGGGAAAACCUUGGGAAACUGAGGCUAAACCCGGAUAGGAGAUUUUUUCUGGAACGAUUUAUCUCUCAAAGGUAACGCUUAAGGAUAGGUCGGCGGCGGAUUAGGCUGUUGGUGAGGUAACGGCUCACCAAACCGAAGAUCCGUACGGGCUCUGAGAGGAGUAGCCCGGAGAGGGGCACUGAGAUACUGGCCCCAGCCCUACGGGGUGCAGCAGGCGCGAAACCUUUACAAUGCACGAAAGUGUGAUAGGGGAAUCCAGAGUGCCAUACGCAAGUAUGGCUUUUGCCAAGAGUAAAUAUCUUGGAGAAUAAGUGGUGGGUAAGACUGGUGCCGGCCGCCGCGGUAACCCCAGCGCCACGAGUGGGGAUCUCUUUUAUUUGGCCUAAAGCGUCCGUAGCCGGUUUUGUAAAUCUUUUGUGAAAUUGUUGGGCUCAACUCAACAGCGCGCAGAAGACACUGCAUUACUAGGGACCGGGAAGAGUCAAAGGUAUGCCGGGGGGAGCGGUAAAAUGCAAUAAUCCUCGGUAGACGACCUGUGGCGAAGGCGUUUGACUAGAACGGGUCCGACGGUGAGGGACGAAAGCCAGGGGAGCAAACCGGAUUAGAUACCCGAGUAGUCCUGGCUGUAAACUCUGCGAACUAGGUGUCGCGUAUUCUUAGAGAAUGCGCGGUGUCGGAGCGAAGGCGUUAAGUUCGCCGCCUGGGAAGUACGGUCGCAAGACCGAAACUUAAAGGAAUUGGCGGGGGAGCAC